ACCAAUUCUGGAGGAUGAUUUUGUUCCUCUUGGUAUAAUGGCUCGGAUGCGACAUGCUAUUUUUUCAUAUCCUGAUUGGUGGCUUUAUUGGUGCCAAUCUAAUCCUGGAAAGGCUGCAUAUAUUC
This is a small nucleolar RNA of Panicum hallii, 125 nucleotides long. The record is from RefSeq and is a predicted model, not a curated record. Lineage: Eukaryota; Viridiplantae; Streptophyta; Magnoliopsida; Poales; Poaceae.